RNAcentral lists this non-coding RNA (29 nucleotides) under Cricetulus griseus (Chinese hamster). Lineage: Eukaryota; Metazoa; Chordata; Mammalia; Rodentia; Cricetidae. The record is from RNAcentral.
AGGAGAGGAACAUUUACAGAGCACGGAGU